Molecule: ribosomal RNA, 425 nt
Filed under: uncultured bacterium
Lineage: Bacteria
Description: bacterial SSU rRNA
Rfam family: Bacterial small subunit ribosomal RNA
Source: RNAcentral
GUGGGGAAUCUUGGACAAUGGGCGCAAGCCUGAUCCAGCCAUGCCGCGUGAGUGAAGAAGGCCUUCGGGUUGUAAAGCUCUUUUACCAGGGACGAUAAUGACGGUACCUGGAGAAUAAGCCCCGGCAAACUUCGUGCCAGCAGCCGCGGUAAUACGAAGGGGGCUAGCGUUGUUCGGAAUUACUGGGCGUAAAGCGCACGUAGGCGGAUUGUUAAGUCAGAGGUGAAAUCCCGGAGCUCAACUUCGGAACUGCCUUUGAUACUGGCAAUCUAGAGUCCGGAAGAGGUUAGUGGAAUUCCCAGUGUAGAGGUGAAAUUCGUAGAUAUUGGGAAGAACACCAGUGGCGAAGGCGGCUAACUGGUCCGGUACUGACGCUGAGGUGCGAAAGCGUGGGGAGCAAACAGGAUUAGAUACCCGGGUAGUCC